This 274-nucleotide ribosomal RNA is filed under the name uncultured bacterium. RNAcentral describes it as "partial 16S ribosomal RNA". It matches the Rfam family "Bacterial small subunit ribosomal RNA", at positions 523 to 796 of the family's 1533-position model. The record is from RNAcentral.
AUACUUAGGGUGCAAGCGUUAAUCGGAAUUACUGGGCGUAAAGCGCUCGUAGGCGGCUUGUUAAGUCGGAUGUGAAAUCCCCGGGCUCAACCUGGGAACUGCAUUCGAUACUGGCAAGCUAGAGUAUAGUAGAGGCAAGUGGAAUUCCGGGUGUAGCGGUGAAAUGCGUAGAUAUCCGGAGGAACAUCAGUGGCGAAGGCGACUUGCUGGACUAAUACUGACGCUGAGGAGCGAAAGCGUGGGGAGCAAACAGGAUUAGAAACCCCGGUAGUCC